GACGAACGCUGGCGGCGUGCUUAACACGUGCAAGUCGAACGAAGAGCGAUGGAAGCUAGCUUCUAUCAAUCUUAGUGGCGAACGGGUGAGUAACGCGUAAUCAACCUGCCCUUCAGAGGGGGACAACAGUUGGAAACGACUGCUAAUACCGCAUACGAUCUAACCUCGGCAUCGAGGAUAGAUGAAAGGUGGCCUCUACAUGUAAGCUAUCACUGAAGGAGGGGAUUGCGUCUGAUUAGCUAGUUGGAGGGGUAACGGCCCACCAAGGCGAUGAUCAGUAGCCGGUCUGAGAGGAUGAACGGCCACAUUGGGACUGAGACACGGCCCAGACUCCUACGGGAGGCAGCAGUGGGGAAUCUUCCGCAAUGGACGAAAGUCUGACGGAGCAACGCCGCGUGAGUGAUGACGGCCUUCGGGUUGUAAAGCUCUGUUAAUCGGGACGAAAGGCCUUCUUGCGAAUAGUUAGAAGGAUUGACGGUACCGGAAUAGAAAGCCACGGCUAACUACGUG
RNAcentral lists this ribosomal RNA (510 nucleotides) under uncultured bacterium. RNAcentral's name for it is "partial 16S ribosomal RNA". It matches the Rfam family "Bacterial small subunit ribosomal RNA", at positions 28 to 507 of the family's 1533-position model. The record is from RNAcentral.